UGGCUCAAAAUCUGCUGUGGUGGGAAGACUGACACCAUGGAAAUCAGCAGACACCAUAAACCAGCGCUUUCUCCUACAUGGAGCCAGGGGUUAAACAUCUGCCUAUAUGCUUUGUCCGUCUGGCCCAGGGGGAGUAGAUACCUUAGUUCCC
Vicugna pacos (alpaca) is the source of this 151-nucleotide non-coding RNA. The record is from RefSeq and is a predicted model, not a curated record. Lineage: Eukaryota; Metazoa; Chordata; Mammalia; Artiodactyla; Camelidae.